GCUGGAUCAGUGGCGAACGGGUGAGUAACACGUGGGCAACCUGCCCUUCACUUCGGGAUAACUCCGGGAAACCGGGGCUAAUACCGAAUACGACCUUUGCAGGCAUCUGCGGAGGUGGAAAGUUUUUCGGUGAAGGAUGGGCCCGCGGCCUAUCAGCUUGUUGGUGAGGUAGUGGCUCACCAAGGCGACGACGGGUAGCCGGCCUGAGAGGGCGACCGGCCACACUGGGACUGAGACACGGCCCAGACUCC
RNAcentral lists this ribosomal RNA (251 nucleotides) under uncultured bacterium. RNAcentral's name for it is "partial 16S ribosomal RNA". It matches the Rfam family "Bacterial small subunit ribosomal RNA", at positions 86 to 339 of the family's 1533-position model. The record is from RNAcentral.